This 75-nucleotide unclassified non-coding RNA is filed under the name Bradyrhizobium erythrophlei. The record is from RNAcentral. Lineage: Bacteria; Pseudomonadati; Pseudomonadota; Alphaproteobacteria; Hyphomicrobiales; Nitrobacteraceae.
GGGAGCCGUGUGCCCGAAUUGGGCUCGCACGGAUCUGUGCGGGGGGCGCGGGGUAACUCGCGUCCCUACCGCGAA